This 383-nucleotide ribosomal RNA is filed under the name uncultured bacterium. RNAcentral's name for it is "bacterial SSU rRNA". It matches the Rfam family "Bacterial small subunit ribosomal RNA", at positions 29 to 416 of the family's 1533-position model. The record is from RNAcentral.
AGCGAACGUUUGCGGCGGGCCUAACACAUGCAAGUCGAACGCACUAGCAAUAGUGAGUGGCGCACGGGUGCGUAACACGUGGGUAAUCAACCCUUCAGCCUGGGAUAACGACUCGAAAGGGUCGCUAAUACCGGAUACGGCGCGAGAGGCUUCGGCUUCUCACGAGAAAGCCACGCAAGGGGCACUGAAGGACGAGCCUGCGGCCCAUCAGCUAGUUGGUGAGGUAAGAGCUCACCAAGGCUAAGACGGGUAGCUGGUCUGAGAGGAUGAUCAGCCACACUGGAACUGAGACACGGUCCAGACUCCUACGGGAGGCAGCAGUGGGGAAUAUUGGACAAGUGGGGAAACCCUGAUCCAGCUACGCCGCGUGGGUGAUGAAGGCC